CCACAGCAAUAAUACUCCCAGUAAUGUGUCUGAGUGUAUAACAGAGCUUCACAGCAAUAAUACUCCCAGUAAUGUCUCUGAGUGUAUAACAGAGCUCCACAGUAAUAAUACUCCCAGUAAUGUCUCUGAGUGUAUAACAGAGCUCCACAGCAAUAAUACUCCCAGUAAUGUGUCUGAGUGUAUAACAGAGCUCCACAGCAAUAAUAUUCCCAGUAAUUUGUCUGAGUGUAUAACAGAGCUCCACAGCAAUAAUACUCCCAGUAAUGUGUCUGAGUGUAUAACAGAGCUCCACAGCAAUAAUACUCCCAGUAAUGUGUCUGAGUGUAUAACAGAGCCCCACAGCAAUAAUAUUCCCAGUAAUGUGUCUGAGUGUAUAACAGAGCCCCACAGCAAUAAU
Molecule: non-coding RNA, 397 nt
Organism: Pelobates cultripes (western spadefoot toad)
Lineage: Eukaryota; Metazoa; Chordata; Amphibia; Anura; Pelobatidae
Source: the annotation of a GenBank genome assembly